Molecule: unclassified non-coding RNA, 405 nt
Filed under: soil metagenome
Description: partial contains 5.8S ribosomal RNA, internal transcribed spacer 2, and large subunit ribosomal RNA
Rfam family: 5.8S ribosomal RNA (bases 1-121)
Source: RNAcentral
GAUGAAGAACGUAGCGAAAUGCGAUAAGUAAUGUGAAUUGCAGAAUUCAGUGAAUCAUCGAAUCUUUGAACGCACCUUGCGCCCUUUGGCCAUUCCGAAGGGCAUGCCUGUUUGAGUAUCAUGAACACCUCAACUCUUUAUGGUUUUCCAUGAUGAGCUUGGACUCUGGGGGUUUUGCUGGCUCACAGUCGGCUCCUCUAAAAUGAAUCAGCUUACCAGUGUUUGGUGGGUAUCAUGGGUGUGAUAACUAUCUACGCUUGUGGUUUUUCCACCAGGUAACCUUCAGCAGUGGAGGUUCGCUGGAGCUCAUAGAUGUCUCUCCUCAGUGAGGACAGCCCUUUGAAUUUUUGAUCUCAAAUCAGGUAGGACUACCCGCUGAACUUAAGCAUAUCAAUAAGCGGAGGA